This 985-nucleotide ribosomal RNA is filed under the name uncultured Flavobacteriaceae bacterium. RNAcentral describes it as "bacterial SSU rRNA". It matches the Rfam family "Bacterial small subunit ribosomal RNA", at positions 506 to 1501 of the family's 1533-position model. Lineage: Bacteria; Pseudomonadati; Bacteroidota; Flavobacteriia; Flavobacteriales; Flavobacteriaceae. The record is from RNAcentral.
AACAAACGAAACAGGGUAAUACGGAGGGUGCAAGCGUUAUCCGGAUUUACCUGUUGUUUAAAGGGUCCGUAGGCGGAUGCGUAAGUCAGUGGUGAAAUCUCACAGCUCAACUGUGAAACUGCCAUUGAUACUGCGUGUCUUGAGUGAGGUUGAAGUAGCUGGAAUAAGUAGUGUAGCGGUGAAAUGCAUAGAUAUUACUUAGAACACCAAUUGCGAAGGCAGGUUACUAAGUCUCAACUGACGCUGAUGGACGAAAGCGUGGGGAGCGAACAGGAUUAGAUACCCUGGUAGUCCACGCUGUAAACGAUGCUAACUCGUUUUUGGGGAUUUAUCUUCAGAGACUAAGCGAAAGUGAUAAGUUAGCCACCUGGGGAGUACGAACGCAAGUUUGAAACUCAAAGGAAUUGACGGGGGCCCGCACAAGCGGUGGAUUAUGUGGUUUAAUUCGAUGAUACGCGAGGAACCUUACCAAGGGCUUAAAUGGGAAUUGAUCGGUUUAGAAAUAGACCUUCCUUCGGGCAAUUUUCAAGGUGCUGCAUGGUUGUCGUCAGCUCGUGCCGUGAGGUGUUAGGUUAAGUCCUGCAUCGAGCGCGACCCCUGUCACUAGUUGCCAUCAUUCAGUUGGGGACUCUAGUGAGACUGCCUACGCAAGUAGAGAGGAAGGUGGGGAUGACGUCAAAUCAUCACGGCCCUUACGCCUUGGGCCACACACGUAAUACAAUGGCCGGUACAGAGGGCAGCUACACAGCGAUGUGAUGCAAAUCUCGAAAGCCGGUCUCAGUUCGGAUUGGAGUCUGCAACUCGACUCUAUGAAGCUGGAAUCGCUAGUAAUCGCGCAUCAGCCAUGGCGCGGUGAAUACGUUCCCGGGCCAUGUACACACCGCCCGUCAAGCCUUGGAAGUCUGGAGUACCUGAAGUCGGUGACCGUAAAAGGAGCUGCCUAGGGUAAAACAGGUAACUAGGGCUAAGUCGUAACAAGGUAACC